CAAAAUUCCAACCAAUUAGUGUGCAAUCAUUCAUAAUUCUCUAGGAUUUGACAUCUAGUCCGGUUCCUUGACAGCUAAAUGUCGAUUUGUUACACUCAGAACAGAAACAACCCAAAAAUAAGAACGCCAGAGCAGCAAAACAAAGUUCAGCUGAUGUUUUUAAUUUUGGGCUGUUGUCAACACCCCAAAAUACAAGUUCACAGCUUGAACUGAUGCCCCAAAAACUUAUCGUUCGGAAUUUAUUUCGUUUGUUGUCGCCAUGCUGUUCCAUUUAAUUAAAAAUUGAAUUUGUUUCAAAUAAAAGCAGUGAAAAAUCGCUACACCAGCAAUUGUUACAAUUUGGAAAAUAAAAAUUGCAGGCUUGGACAAACAAAUUGAACGGGGAUACUACAGAUAUAUUAAAAGAGCUCGAAUGAAUCAUGGGAAUUAAAAAUAUAACUACAACAAAACUCAAAACUACAAGUUCAAAACUAAAUUGACUGAAAAUAAAUAAAAAACUUCAAACAACGCCUUUUAUUUUUUAAUUAAUUCUAUGCCCAUUUAAAAUGUUAUGAAUAUGAACAUAAAAUAAAUAUCGUUUUCUCGUCAGAAUGGCUUUCUCAAUUUUGGGGUGUGAAAAAGAGCUCGAUUCUCAAGUUUGGGAAAACCCCUCCAA
Long non-coding RNA from Uranotaenia lowii, 655 nucleotides. RefSeq lists it as uncharacterized. Lineage: Eukaryota; Metazoa; Arthropoda; Insecta; Diptera; Culicidae. The record is from RefSeq and is a predicted model, not a curated record. The transcript has 3 exons.